RNAcentral lists this non-coding RNA (45 nucleotides) under Schistosoma mattheei. The record is from RNAcentral. Lineage: Eukaryota; Metazoa; Platyhelminthes; Trematoda; Strigeidida; Schistosomatidae.
AUCCAGUUGACCAGUCCGAAAUAGGACGAAACGCGCGUCUUGGAU